This 99-nucleotide ribosomal RNA is filed under the name uncultured bacterium. Its description in RNAcentral is "partial 16S ribosomal RNA". It matches the Rfam family "Bacterial small subunit ribosomal RNA", at positions 1384 to 1482 of the family's 1533-position model. The record is from RNAcentral.
UACACACCGCCCGUCACACCAUGGGAGUGGGUUGCACCAGAAGUAGCUAGUCUAACCUUCGGGAGGGCGGUUACCACGGUGUGAUUCAUGACUGGGGUG